RNAcentral lists this ribosomal RNA (458 nucleotides) under uncultured bacterium. Its description in RNAcentral is "partial 16S ribosomal RNA". It matches the Rfam family "Bacterial small subunit ribosomal RNA", at positions 338 to 795 of the family's 1533-position model. The record is from RNAcentral.
CCUACGGGGGGCAGCAGUGAGGAAUAUUGGUCAAUGGGCGAGAGCCUGAACCAGCCAAGUCGCGUGAGGGAGUACUGCCCUAUGGGUUGUAAACCUCUUUUGUCGGGGAGCAAAAGCCGGACGUGUCCGGCUGUGAGAGUACCCGAAGAAAAAGCAUCGGCUAACUCCGUGCCAGCAGCCGCGGUAAUACGGGGGAUGCGAGCGUUAUCCGGAUUUAUUGGGUUUAAAGGGUGCGCAGGCGGAUUUUUAAGUCAGCGGUAAAAUCGUGGGGCUCAACCCCAUCCAGCCGUUGAAACUGGGGAUCUAGAGUGUGCGAGAGGUAUGCGGAAUGCGUGGUGUAGCGGUGAAAUGCAUAGAUAUCACGCAGAACCCUGAUUGCGAAGGCAGCAUACCGGUGCACAACUGACGCUCAGGCACGAAAGCGUGGGUAUCGAACAGGAUUAGAUACCCCAGUAGUC